AAAAAGGAUACCGGGCAACCGGUAGACCCCACCCGCGUCUCUCUACUCUUGUUGCUUUGGCAGGCCGUGGCCUCCACCGCGGGCUCUGCCUGCGUGUGCCUGCCAGAGGACCAAACUCUGAAUUUUAGUGAUGUCUGAGUACUAUAUAAUAGUUA
Molecule: unclassified non-coding RNA, 155 nt
Filed under: soil metagenome
Description: partial internal transcribed spacer 1
Source: RNAcentral